CCUACGGGAGGCAGCAGUAAGGAAUAUUGGUCAAUGGACGAAAGUCUGAACCAGCCAUGCCGCGUGAAGGAUUAAGGCCCUCUGGGUUGUAAACUUCUUUUAUCUGGGACGAAAAAAGGGUAUUCUUACUCACUUGACGGUACCAGAGGAAUAAGCACCGGCUAACUCCGUGCCAGCAGCCGCGGUAAUACGGAGGGUGCAAGCGUUAUCCGGAUUUACUGGGUUUAAAGGGUGCGUAGGUGGGUUUGUAAGUCAGUGGUGAAAUCUCCGAGCUUAACUCGGAAACUGCCAUUGAUACUAUAGAUCUUGAAUUAUCUGGAGGUAAGCGGAAUAUGUCAUGUAGCGGUGAAAUGCUUAGAUAUGACAUAGAACACCAAUUGCGAAGGCAGCUUACUACGGAUAUAUUGACACUGAGGCACGAAAGCGUGGGGAUCAAACAGGAUUAGAUACCCUGGUAGUCCACGCCCUAAACGAUGGAUACUCGACAUCAGCGAUACACUGUUGGUGUCUGNGNGAAGANAUAGUAUCCACCUGGAGACGAUCGCGAGAGUAGAACGUACAAGUAGAGUUAGUACGCGUGAGACGUAGACCGACGGACGACGACGAGGGGAGGUUAGG
RNAcentral lists this ribosomal RNA (618 nucleotides) under uncultured bacterium. RNAcentral describes it as "bacterial SSU rRNA". The stretch from base 1 to 532 matches the Rfam family "Bacterial small subunit ribosomal RNA", at positions 338 to 873 of the family's 1533-position model. The record is from RNAcentral.